This 365-nucleotide ribosomal RNA is filed under the name uncultured bacterium. RNAcentral's name for it is "bacterial SSU rRNA". It matches the Rfam family "Bacterial small subunit ribosomal RNA", at positions 527 to 896 of the family's 1533-position model. The record is from RNAcentral.
GGAGGAUCCAAGCGUUAUCCGGAAUCAUUGGGUUUAAAGGGUCCGUAGGCGGUUUUGUAAGUCAGUGGUGAAAGCCCAUCGCUCAACGGUGGAACGGCCAUUGAUACUGCAAGACUUGAAUUACUAGGAAGUAACUAGAAUAUGUAGUGUAGCGGUGAAAUGCUUAGAGAUUACAUGGAAUACCAAUUGCGAAGGCAGGUUACUACUAGUGGAUUGACGCUGAUGGACGAAAGCGUGGGUAGCGAACAGGAUUAGAUACCCUGGUAGUCCACGCCGUAAACGAUGGAUACUAGCUGUUGGGAGCAAUCUCAGUGGCUAAGCGAAAGUGAUAAGUAUCCCACCUGGGGAGUACGGGCGCAAGCCUG